Molecule: ribosomal RNA, 470 nt
Filed under: Salmonella enterica
Lineage: Bacteria; Pseudomonadati; Pseudomonadota; Gammaproteobacteria; Enterobacterales; Enterobacteriaceae
Description: partial 23S ribosomal RNA
Rfam family: Bacterial large subunit ribosomal RNA
Source: RNAcentral
UGAAGGGCGUGCUAAUCUGCGAUAAGCGCCGGUAAGGUGAUAUGAACCGUUAUAACCGGCGAUACCCGAAUGGGGAAACCCAGUGUGAUUCGUCACACUAUCAUUAACUGAAUCCAUAGGUUAAUGAGGCGAACCGGGGGAACUGAAACAUCUAAGUACCCCGAGGAAAAGAAAUCAACCGAGAUUCCCCCAGUAGCGGCGAGCGAACGGGGAGGAGCCCAGAGCCUGAAUCAGCAUGUGUGUUAGUGGAAGCGUCUGGAAAGGCGCGCGAUACAGGGUGACAGCCCCGUACACAAAAGCGCAUGUGCUGUGAGCUCGAUGAGUAGGGCGGGACACGUGGUAUCCUGUCUGAAUAUGGGGGGACCAUCCUCCAAGGCUAAAUACUCCUGACUGACCGAUAGUGAACCAGUACCGUGAGGGAAAGGCGAAAAGAACCCCGGCGAGGGGAGUGAAAAAGAACCUGAAACCGU